Molecule: ribosomal RNA, 1283 nt
Filed under: metagenome
Description: SSU rRNA
Rfam family: Eukaryotic small subunit ribosomal RNA
Source: RNAcentral
CGUCUGGUAAUUGGAAUGAGUACAAUUUAAAUCCCUUAACGAGGAUCAAUUGGAGGGCAAGUCUGGUGCCAGCAGCCGCGGUAAUUCCAGCUCCAAUAGCGUAUAUUAAAGUUGCUGCAGUUAAAAAGCUCGUAGUUGAAUUUCUGGUACGAUGUGCCUGGUCCACGGUCGCAAGGCCGCGCGUAUCGGAGUACGUCUGCCAUCCUUCUAGUUAACUGGCUAUACUUAACUGUGUGGUCAGCAACCUAGAUCUUUUACUUUGAAAAAAUUAGAGUGUUUAAAGCAGGCUCGCGCUGUGAAUACAUUAGCAUGGAAUAAUAAUUUAGGACUUUGCUUCUAUUUUAUUGGUUUCUAGGGGUAAAGUAAUGAUUGAUAGGGAUAGUUGGGGGUGCUAGUAUUCAUCGGCCAGAGGUGAAAUUCUUGGAUUCGAUGAAGACUAACUUAUGCGAAAGCAUUCACCAAGGAUGUCUUCUUUAAUCAAGAACGAAAGUUGGGGGAUCGAAGACGAUCAGAUACCGUCGUAGUCUCAACCAUAAACUAUACCGACUAGGGAUUAGUGGAAGUUGCUAUAUCGACUCCAUUAGCACCUUAUGAGAAAUCAGAAGUCUUUGGGUUCUGGGGGGAGUAUGGUCGCAAGGCUGAAACUUAAGGGAAUUGACGGAAGGGCACCACCAGGAGUGGAGCCUGCGGCUUAAUUUGACCCAACACGGGGAAACUUACCAGGUCCGGACAUAGUGAGGAUUGACAGAUUGAAGUUCUUUCUUGAUUCUAUGGGUGGUGGUGCGUGGCCGUUCUUAGUUGGUGGAGUGAUUUGUCUGGUUAAUUCCGUUAACGAACGAGACCUCGACCUGCUAAAUAGUAUGACGUAGGCUCUGUCUAUGGACAUGACUUCUUAGAGGGACUGUCGGUUUUUAGCCGAAGGAAGUUCGAGGCAAUAACAGGUCUGUGAUGCCCUUAGAUGUUCUGGGCCGCACGCGCGCUACACUGAUACGUGCAUCGAGCUUACAACCUUGGCUGGGAGGCCUGGGUAAUCUUUGAAAAGCGUAUCGUGCUGGGGAUAGAUUAUUGUAAUUAUUAAUCUUCAACGAGGAAUUCCUAGUAAGCGCGAGUCAUCAACUCGCACUGAUUACGUCCCUGCCCUUUGUACACACCGCCCGUCGCUGCUACCGAUUGAAUGCAUUAGUGAGCUUGAGGGAUCGUUUAGCUUGAGGGUCAAACUUCGAGUUAAGUGAGAACUCACGCAAACUUGCGCAUUUAGAGGAAGCAAAAGUCGUAACAAGGUU